This is a long non-coding RNA of Dermacentor andersoni, 1212 nucleotides long. RefSeq lists it as uncharacterized. Lineage: Eukaryota; Metazoa; Arthropoda; Arachnida; Ixodida; Ixodidae. The record is from RefSeq and is a predicted model, not a curated record.
UAAGGCUCGAAUUACAUCCGCAUGCGACGGCGUCAAGCAUUUCUAUGCGGAGUGCCGCAGCAAUAAUGGUCACUGAACAGUUGUAUAGCUUUUGAUUCGGUUUCCCAACUAAUGCGGUAAAUUUUGUAUGUUCUGAAGUAGGCUUGAGGUGUGGCGCUUUUAGUUAAACAUUGCAUUUGGGAACAUGAUAAAUCCGCCUGUUGGUGAUGCUCAUGCGUUUUUGCAGAAACAAAAUGGUCUGGACCGUAAAUAUGAUUAAAGUCGUCGUCGGGCAGGAAAAGACCGAAGUGAACGAAGCCCAGUCUCAUUUGUAAAGGUGGGGGAAAGCUCGGGUGCUGCCUUUGAUGAUGUUGGUGAGCACCGUGCUGACGUUCGUCAUGUGUCGUGUGACACUAUACACCAUUCGAAAAGUGGGUUUCGGUGAAAACGGCAUCGUACCCAACACGUUGGCGUCCACUUGGCAGGCAGGAAUUGGAAACAUAGAAGAGAGCCCUUGGUUUUCUACCCUGCAGAGCACGGGUGUGCAUGGCUUUUCAUGGAAGCAGCGCCUGUUUGUGUGCAACUUAGUGUACAGUGUUUUAAUUUCGAUCGCGUAUUAGGCCUCCUUGUUUUGUUUUUUUUUUCUCAAUAAAUUUGCGCACCAUGGCUCACCUCGGAGGCAGAAUACGUGAAGAGAGGGAACAGACAUUGUCACCCUAUGUCACUUCCCGGCGGGCAAUUAUUAUAAACAUAUCUAAAUACUUUCAUUACUUCCCCCUCCCCCUUAAAAUGCUGGACAAUUGUGACUGAACUCGGCAGGUGGCAGAAUGUGAUUAGCCAGUUUUUAAUGGAGCUUCUUAAUUCGCUUGUUGAUGACCCGUUUCCGACUGAGAAUUCACCUGUCAUGCACUUUCUGCGGACAGAACCUUUCAUACACUCUAAAAACUAGGAAGGGUAUCGCAGGAGUGAAGCUGCCGGUUCACUCUUCAAAGCGUCGUUUUACUCUCGCAAAAUGUCGAGGAGAGUGAAAUGCAUUGUUCACUCUGUCACCAAGGAGAGAGUGAAAUGUGCUUUUCACUCUCCCCUUCAGGGAGAGAGAGUGAAAAGACUCUUGCGACAUUAGAAAAGAGAGACUCUUGCGGCAAUAGAAAACAAAACGUAGCGUAAUCUUCUGCUUCAACUGUAGGUGGCUGGCCCCGAACAUGGCAAUGUAUCAUUCAUGCACGCUGAGCA